This 654-nucleotide ribosomal RNA is filed under the name Dinophyceae gen. sp. Marennes-Oleron_16. RNAcentral's name for it is "partial 24S large subunit ribosomal RNA". It matches the Rfam family "Eukaryotic large subunit ribosomal RNA", at positions 55 to 628 of the family's 3401-position model. Lineage: Eukaryota; Dinophyceae. The record is from RNAcentral.
GGACAAGAAACUAAACAGGAUCCCCAUAGUAAUGGCGAAUGAACCGGGAUAAACUCAGCAUGGAAGUUGGGGCCUUUGGCUUUGACUUGUAAUCUGGUGAGGCAUUGCCAACAGAGGCGCAUAUGUAAGUCUCUUGGAAAAGAGCAUCAACGAAGGUGAGAGUCCUGAUUGUCAUGUGCAGCCCCCCUGUGCACGGUGUGCCUUCUAAGAGUCACGUUCCUUGGAUUGGAGCGCAAAUUGGGUGGUAACUUUCAUCUGAAGUUAAACAAUGGUUUGGGACCGAUAGGAAACAAGUACCAUGAGGGAAAGGUGAAAAGGACUUUGGAAAGAGAGUUAAAAGUGCCUGAAAUUGCUGAAGGGGAAGCGAAUGGAACCAGUGGUGCUGGGUGAGAUUGUCACAUGCUGCAAGGAUUGGUUGCUGCCACAACGCAAGUGUGCUGGCAAUUUGUGAACUGCUAGUGUGUGGUGUGUCUUACCUAGUGGGUCAUUGUGGGCUUAUGCAUUAAGAUACACCAAAGCAAGCGGGAGCAAGUUUACGAGUUUGUGAAUGUGUGUUGUUAUGCUUGUGCGUAAGCUUUAGUGUUUGUCUGGCUGCAGGGCUGUCCAUCCUCACGCUUUGCUGUGGUUGCGAUGAGCAUAACCUUCUGCACAGAU